CACCGGCGGCUCGAGUGGUGGCCACUUUUAUUGGGUCUAAAGCGUCCGUAGCCGGCUUGGCAAGUCCCCUGGGAAAUCUGGCGGCUUAACCGUCAGGCGUCCAGAGGAUACUGCCAGGCUUGGGACCGGGAGGGGUGAGAGGUACCUCAGGGGUAGGGGUGAAAUCUUGUGAUCCCUGAGGGACCACCAGUGGCGAAGGCGUCUCACUAGAACGGGUCCGACGGUCAGGGACGAAAGCUGGGGGCACGAACCGG
Molecule: ribosomal RNA, 254 nt
Filed under: uncultured microorganism
Description: partial 16S ribosomal RNA
Rfam family: Archaeal small subunit ribosomal RNA
Source: RNAcentral